This 427-nucleotide ribosomal RNA is filed under the name uncultured bacterium. Its description in RNAcentral is "bacterial SSU rRNA". It matches the Rfam family "Bacterial small subunit ribosomal RNA", at positions 355 to 774 of the family's 1533-position model. The record is from RNAcentral.
UGGGGAAUUUUGGACAAUGGGCGCAAGCCCGAUCCAGCAAUGCCGCGUGCAGGAUGAAGGCCUUCGGGUUGUAAACUGCUCUUGUACGGAGCGAAAAGGUCUGCCCUAAUACGGUGGGCUCAUGACGGUACCGUAAGAAUAAGCACCGGCUAACUACGUGCCAGCAGCCGCGGUAAUACGUAGGGUGCGAGCGUUAAUCGGAAUUACUGGGCGUAAAGCGUGCGCAGGCGGUUAUAUAAGACAGAUGUGAAAUCCCCGGGCUCAACCUGGGACCUGCAUUUGUGACUGUAUAGCUAGAGUACGGUAGAGGGGGAUGGAAUGCUGCGUGUAGCAAUGGAAUGCGUAGAUAUGCGGAGGAACACCGAUAGCGAAGGCAAUCCCCUAGACCUGUACUGACGCGCAUGAACGAGAGCGUGGGAAGCAAGCA